RNAcentral lists this ribosomal RNA (492 nucleotides) under uncultured bacterium. Its description in RNAcentral is "partial 16S ribosomal RNA". It matches the Rfam family "Bacterial small subunit ribosomal RNA", at positions 29 to 507 of the family's 1533-position model. The record is from RNAcentral.
AGUGAACGCUGGCGGUAGACCUAACACAUGCAAGUCGAACGGCAGCACAGUAAGAGCUUGCUCUUACGGGUGGCGAGUGGCGGACGGGUGAGGAAUACAUCGGAAUCUACUUUUUCGUGGGGGAUAACGUAGGGAAACUUACGCUAAUACCGCAUACGACCUACGGGUGAAAGCAGGGGAUCUUCGGACCUUGCGCGAUUGAAUGAGCCGAUGUCGGAUUAGCUAGUUGGCGGGGUAAAGGCCCACCAAGGCGACGAUCCGUAGCUGGUCUGAGAGGAUGAUCAGCCACACUGGAACUGAGACACGGUCCAGACUCCUACGGGAGGCAGCAGUGGGGAAUAUUGGACAAUGGGCGCAAGCCUGAUCCAGCCAUACCGCGUGGGUGAAGAAGGCCUUCGGGUUGUAAAGCCCUUUUGUUGGGAAAGAGAAGCAGCAGGUUAAUACCCCGCUGUUCUGACGGUACCCAAAGAAUAAGCACCGGCUAACUUCGUG